GGAUAGCUCAGUUGGUUAGAACAUGGUGCUGAUAAUGUCAGGGUCACAGGUUUGAUCCCCAUAUGGGACA
Molecule: non-coding RNA, 70 nt
Organism: Podarcis lilfordi (Lilford's wall lizard)
Lineage: Eukaryota; Metazoa; Chordata; Lepidosauria; Squamata; Lacertidae
Source: the annotation of a GenBank genome assembly